CAUUUGCUACUAUCAGCCUUUGAGUGCAAAUCAACCACAAAUAAUUGUAGUGCAGACACCCUGGCAAAAAGAUAUACUGAAAGAACAUCCCCAUACCAUGGUAUUCAUGGACGCUACUUACAAGGCCAUGACAUCGUAUGGUUAUGCAUUUUAUACACUUCUCUUGACCAACUCUAUCGGAAGAGCAGUCCCAUUCGCUUACUUUAUUAUUAGUGAGGAAUCAGCGGACAUACUUGCUCUUUGUUUGGAAAAGCUUGCAAAACACAACCCUGGAUUUCUUCCCAGGUCGAUAAUGAUUGACCGUGACCUUAAGGAACUCAAUGCCAUCAGAAGAGUUUUUCCUACAGCCAAGGUUCUUCUUUGUUGGUUUCAUGUACUCCAGGCUGUGCAUAGAUGGAUGGUCAGAAGAGAUGGAGGGAACUUGCCAGUGAAUCAACGAAAUAUCCCCC
Long non-coding RNA from Triplophysa rosa, 449 nucleotides. RefSeq lists it as uncharacterized. The transcript is spliced from 3 exons. NCBI's taxonomy places the organism in Eukaryota, Metazoa, Chordata, Actinopteri, Cypriniformes, Nemacheilidae. The record is from RefSeq and is a predicted model, not a curated record.